CUCACUAUGGUCGGGUGCGGCUGUGGUGCGGGAUAGAUAGCGAUGGCCGGGUGGUCUGUUUUAUAGAGAGGGAAGGGCACGGGAUACAGGAGACUGAGGAGCUGGAUAGCAAGGCGAGUGGGCCACGUGGCUGGGUUUCGUCUCAGGGAAGAUUCGUUGUUCAGCGUUGGCUUGCGCUUGCAGGUGUGGUGGCCACGUCCGUCGUGGGUUGGAUCAAAGGAGAGACCGUGUCCAUGUCCGUGUAGCAUGUCUGUGUCCGUGUCCGUGUCCGUAUCAUAUGCCUAGUGCUCAACCUCGUUGAUUCUAGAGAAGUGUCCGACCAGCGGUCGGGGCGUCUUGCAGUCCGAUCUAUCAAACUGCACCCCACGCCGAGUAGUUCCCGCUCGAUUUUCCCGCCUUGACACCGCAAUACAUCGCCAAUAGUUUUCCCACGUCAACCCGCGCGCAGCUGCAUGCGGCAGCACAGCUAGCUCUGACGCAUGCAUCUAACAAAUUUCAACACACUCAAAAAGUCAUAGCUCCUAAACAAAACAUUCAAAUUAAAUUCCGAUUGUACCAUCGUAUUCCUUACAAUAAAUCCUUGAAAACAAGAUCUCACUUGGAUAUAUUUAAAUAAAAUUUUAUUUUUGAUUAUUUGUCUUGUAAACAUAAAUUGUUAUUCUAAAAAAUAGACAUAAAUGCAGGAUAGAACAUCGUUAAAAACAUGAUAUAACAUCGCUAAAAAUAUGACAAAAUAUCGCUAGUAAGCAUGACAGAAUAUCAGUAGUAACAUGAUAGAACAUCGCUACACACAUGACAGAACGUCGCUAAAGACAUGAUAGAACAUCGCUAAAAAUAUGACAAAAUAUCGCUAGUAAACACGACAGAACAUCACUAGUAACAUGAUAAAACAUCGCUACACACAUGAUAGAACAUCGCUAAACAUAUGAUAGAACAUAGCUAAAAAUAUGACAAAAUAUCGCUACUGAACAUGACAGAACAUCACUAUUAACAUGAAAGAACAUCGCUACACACAUGAUAGAAUAGUGCUAAACACAUGAUAGAACAUCGUUAGAAACAUAUUAUAACAUCACUAAACACAUGAUAGAACAUUGUCAAAAAAAUAUAUUAGAACAUCGCCUAAUAUAUGAUAGAACAUCAUUGAAUAAAUAAUAGAACAUCGCUAAAAACAUAACUAGAAAAAGAAACAAAAUCAUGUCUGAAGAAAGGACAUAAAAGGUAAUAAGAAAAAGGAAAGGAAAGAAAAGAAAAGAAAAGAAAAGAAAAGAAAAGAAAAAAUAAAUGAAAGAAACAGAAUAAUAUAAAAAGAGUAAUAAAGAAUAGCAUAAAACAAAAAUAAAUAUAUAAAUAAAAAAGAAAAAAGAAACGAAAAAAAGAAAGAUUACAUACGUAGUACGUACCUGAUAGGCUGCAUGUAAUACCCGAUUUUAAGAACAAAAUCAGAUACGCACCAUAUGUGAGUUUUAGAAGUCAAAUCCCACAUAUAGCUACAAAUAAGGGGUAAUAUCAAAAGACAAUGCAUAAAUAUAUAACAUACUUAGUAUAAAAGAUAUAACCUGUGAUAGCAAACAACGGAUAGACAACUCCAAACUUCGGGUAUUAACUUCUCUCUACAGGAUCAACUGACUGGUUGAUCACAAGCCUAAACUUCUCCUGAGGUUUGGGGAAAAUAGCAAGAGUGAGUCCAUGUCGAACUCCACAAGUAUAGCAACUAGAUUGUAUAGAUCCCACAAUCUCAUGAUCAGUGUGACAAAUAAUGUAGAGCAUUAAACAAUAAACAAUGACAUAUUUAACACACAAGAAUCAUCACCCUUAAUGUAGAUGUCCCCAAGGCCGCUCCUGACCGUGAGCUCGGCUAGUAUACUAGUUUUAACACUCUGCAGAGGUUGUACAUCUUUACCCAUGAGUCAUGAUUUACCCUUUCGCCCGAGGGUGAUCAGCCUCUUAACCCACUUCCAAGGAAGGUCGGCAGGGAUCACUAUGAAGCCUUUCAAAAGUUCGUCAUAGGGCCGCAAGGUUUCCUUUGCACGUAGAUAUAGAGCCCCCCUUCCGAUGGCACAAUGACGCGCAGCCUAUACACAUACAGACAGAGGCCACACUAUACCCAAAACGGUUCAGCCCCUCCGCCCUUUCGGGUAACCUCUAACAAGCUAGAAAAGGUCUUCAUACUGAGCUAAAGCCAGAGCCAUUAUAGCCCUCAUGGUUGCACUGUUGUCCAGGGUGAUCACGUACAGAAAAAUCAAGUUGCUAAAAAGUCAUUUUUAUCGUUUAUUACUUAACAUUAAUCUAGUCACAGGAUCAUGGUCACAGAAAUAAAAUCCAAACGCUAUACUUGCCUUAAUCCAAAUGCUCUUGCUGAUCUUGCUAGUUGCCCAAGGCUCUGAUCUUGAUCAAUGAAGUACUCCGGUUCACCACGAAUUGCUCACCGUCUAAUCCGACCAUCGAUCAUCAACACACAAACAAUCGAAGACAACAUACACGAAGCAAACAAGACUACAAUUAGAACAGUACACCAAACAUGUAAAAACAGUAUGAAAAGUUUAUAAAAUAAUUCUACGCAUCGCUACGAUCACACAGACGUAAAUAUCACGAAAAACGAAGUUAAAACGGAGAAGAUAUGAUCUAAACAAACUAGUGUAUUUUUUUGUAUUUCUAGAUUUAUUUUUUUUAUAGAAAAGCGGCAACUAAGCUCAUCUUAUGUCAUCAAGCUAGCAAAAGCAAAUUUGGGCACGUACGGCUGCUCAGCUAGUUGAUUAGCGAGCAAGGUCAAUCUGAGCAAUGGCGAUGGGGGUGCUAGAAGGGAAGGCGUCUGCAAAUUCUGGAACCUCGGCUCAGGGCUCGGCUGACCGGCGUGUGGACUGUCGGCGAGGCUUCGUACGGCAACCACGAUAUGGCAGCUUUGUCGGUGAGAUCCCAAGACGAACGUAGCAAAAUUAGGCUGGGACUUAAGCCAACACAGAGAGCAAGAGGAUCGGGUUCCUUACCUCUGUACACGAAGCAAGGUAGGCGAUACGGCAAAUGUUGAAGUCCUCAUAGAUAAAGCAGACGGACGCAUACGUACGUCGUGAAACAAACAAUGGCACGGGUCACCGGGUCUUAGUAAGAACGGCGGCAGCGACGUUGGCUUCUAGAUAUGUUGCAGUGAUGACCUGAGGUAAACGGUGGUGAAGAGAUGACCGAAAUAAUGUAAUUGAAUACCGUGGAAUUCCUAGACUAGGGCUUCAUUUACGGUAUUUUUUUUUUUGGAUGUUUCUCCUAAGGGCUUGGUGCAUAUAUAUAUAUAUGGAGGAAAACUCUCCACAUCUACAUCAAUUAGCAAUAUGGUACUAAUUGAUGUUGCCCCUUCCACCUUUACUAAUAGGCCUAACUAAUUAUUAAAGCCCACUAGUAAAUAAAUACAUUGGCCUUUGAGAUCAUGGGUUCAGCGUUGGGGUAGAAUGAAAGAUUUAUUAUUUUCGAAAUUAACUAUUUUUGUGAAUAAGAUAUUUCUAGAAAAGUCCAGAAUUAUUAUUUAAUUUAUAAAAAAUAUUUCAAAAGCUCUGAAAAUUCGGGAAAAAUUCUCGGAGAUAUUAUGAAACAUGAGGAACCCAAAUAAAGCAUUUGGAGCUCAUGAUAAGAUAAUUUGGAGCAUCUAAAAUUAGAUUAUGCUCCACGGAAAAGGCUAGAAAAAUUCUCGAGAAGUUUAUAGAGAUUGCUUGAU
This 3700-nucleotide long non-coding RNA is filed under the name Sorghum bicolor (sorghum). RNAcentral's name for it is "long non-coding RNA (SBIC_LNC014736)". The record is from RNAcentral. Lineage: Eukaryota; Viridiplantae; Streptophyta; Magnoliopsida; Poales; Poaceae.